Molecule: long non-coding RNA, 1442 nt
Organism: Myxocyprinus asiaticus (Chinese sucker)
Lineage: Eukaryota; Metazoa; Chordata; Actinopteri; Cypriniformes; Catostomidae
Exons: 3
Source: RefSeq, a predicted model, not a curated record
UCUUGUUCUCCAAGCCUGCCGCACCUGCCCAAGCACCCAUCAAUGAAUGGAAAACCAAACCAUCUCCUGAGUCUCUCAGAGGCCCAAGGUGUGUAGCAAGCUUUGACUCUGAGGGAGGGCACAGUGAUGAGCUCUCAUUCUCUGAAGGUGAUGUGAUCUGGCUCAAAGAGUAUGCCGGAGAGCAGUGGGCUCGUGGGGAGGUGAACAGCAAUGUUGGCAUUUUCCCUCUCCACUUUGUGGAAGUGGUCGAAGACCUUCCUCCAAUCCCUGUGCACAAAUCUGCUCCGAACAAGACUGCACGGCCUGGCUGCAUCUGAGGGUGUGGAGUGAGCUGUGGCACUGUAUGACUUCACAGCAGAAACCGAGGAUGACCUGCCCUUCCAGAAAGCAGGCAAGAUCCUGGUCAAGGCUCACAUAGAUGAUGAAUGGUGAAAUGGGAGGCUGAAUGGCAGAGAAGGCCUUUGUAGAGCUCAAAACAGGUGAGGUUAUAAAGUGACUGGUGCCCUCUGGUGGUCUCAGAAUGCUGUUGGGACACUUUCAGAAAUAUUUUAUGUAAAGAAUUAGCUUUGCAUGUUCAGAAUGGCAUACUACCCGCACUACUCCUGCCAUACGUGUCUACGACAAUACAGUAUGAGUUGUAUGCAAUUCCAAACUCAGCCAACGUCUUCUUAUCCCCCUGUGCAGGUGGGUGGAAGUGACACUAGAACAAUUAAGCAGAGGUAAACUCAGAGAAGCGGUGUUUUCUUAUUCGAGAGGAUCCCCCGAAGUGUCAAAUCUCUUUUGCUGACUAUUUAGAAUUUAAUUUGUAUAUGUCAAAUGUACUUAUAAAUGUAAUCUUCCUCAUUUUUAUUACAACUCAUAAAUAUCUACGUAUAAAAAAUAAAAGAUGCUGUCACAUAUUCUGUUGGAUGACUAUUUCAGUGUACAUUACACAUAAUUCAUGACCACAGAUGUGCACAGCUGUUGAACAUGGAAGAGCCCAACAUUUAGUUUAACUGUUAAGUAUACCUUUAAACCCAACUUGUCCCAUUUCACAACCAAACUGGCUAACAAGUCAUUAUUAAUCCAUGCUUUCAAUGCAUUAUCGCAGCCUUAUAGCUGAAUUUGUUUGUCAUGUGUAUCGACUUGUGACUGGAGUUAAUUCAGUGUAAAAUGUUAUUGGCAGAGCUUUAUCAUGACAACAGCUUGCUGCAAUUUCAUCCAGAGGAGCAACUGCCCCUCCCCAAAUUUCUCAGAUUAGUGGCUGAAUGUUACAGAGUUUCUCAGUGCUUGAUUCUCAAAUCAUGUUUGGUCCCCCCACCCCAAUCCUUAAGUAGUUACAUACUUGAUUUCAUCUCAUAAGUGAGCAAUUAAGAGCAAGACCAUAGACUCAAAAGACUGACAUGUGCAUAUGUGCAGCCAGUCUUGAAUUUCAAAACAAUCAGGCUUCAAAGCUUCACUGC